AAAUACUUUUAUUCUAUGCUCUUUCACUUCCUCUUUUCAAAUCAACCGGCGGAGGUAAGAAAUUCCAAAUACUUUAGGAGAUAUCGAAUUUUUCAAUUUUCAUCACAAUACCUGUGUAAUGCGGCCACCAUUGUUUCUUGUUUACGAGUAUCUAUUAUGUUUCUUAUUGGACAAUUUUGUCACGUGACAGUUCCGUGAUUGGCCAGUAUUCAAAUGAACCAAUACGUGAUUAUUUAUUUAUUUAUUAAUGUUCCGUCGGAGUUAUCGCGACGUAGGUGAACGACUACAUCAUUUCCUUAUAAUGGCAAAAGAAAUGUACCCACCUCCAACUUAGGUGAUUUUUUAACGUUUCUAAUUUAUAAGUCUUAUUUUUUAUUUGGAUAUUGUUGCGCAAGUAAUAAGUAACAAAAUUUUUUUACGUGAGUUGUUAAUGUUCAUCAUUUGUCCAGGUUUGUUAGGUCAGGUCAGUUACAUUAUAAAUACUUUAAAACUAAAGAACCAUUGAAAUUAAAUCAUAUUAUUUUUAAUGUACGCUUAGUUUGAAAGUAUUCAUAAUGUAACUGACCUGACCUAAUCGACCAUUUUAUUUACUAUGCAUUCACGAACACACUGCAAAAUAACAAAAAUGUCGACGUUCCAAUGGUUGCACAGGUCUUGUAUUGCAAAAUUAAAAAAUUCGAUAUCUCCUAAAGUAUUUGGAAUUUCUUAUCUCCGCCGGUUUUUUUGAAAAGAGGAAGUGAAAGAGCAUAGAAUAAAAGUAUUUUCGGAUUUUUAACAUUUUUUUUCGCAUAUACCGUUACUCUACAUAUUUACCUGAUUUCGUAAUUUCUACCUAGUUUUUAAAAAAUACUAAAAUUUUAUAUCUUACAUUAGAUUACAUAACUUGUGCUUUUAUGCUACCACCACAAUUAAUUAUUUACCCGCAAUAAAAUGGGAAUUCAUGUUUUCCACGUACUAGACGUUCCUGAAUUAACCCUGCAAGGAAGGUUUCUCAAUUUCCACUGUGAAAAAAAAAUAAGUUUACAGCUUAGAUUACAAUAACUAUGUAUUCACGCAAUUGCUGACAUUCACUGUUUAUGUUUACCCUGUGGGAUUUUUUUUGGAGAACUUAAUUUGAUAUAGGUGGUGUUGUAAUAAUCAAAAUUUGUUUAUGCAGUUGUAAGGAAUUUUUAACGCUUCUGUUUCAUUUUGUGGUUUUAUUAAAAUAAGUAUGUAAUUGUAUAACAAAACGUGUUUUGAUACAUUGCAUUUAAAGUACGUAUGUACUAUUUUGAGUGACGUAACGAGUCUAAUGAAAAACCUAAAAUUGUAAUUGAAAGAUUACCAUCGUUCAUUUUCUGUGAGGAAUACGUGCUGUGCAAUGAAGUAGCUGACACAUUGGAUUUCGAAGUCUUUCCCAGGAAUUCUUUGAUUACAGCCAUCGUAUAUUUUGUGUCCGUUAUGGCUGGUGUUUCAUGUUUAUCCCUGAAUCCUGAAGGCUUGAUCCUGUGGUACAUGAUGCUUGCUAUUGUUUUAGUUCAGCGUAUCAGAAGAUCCUGAACAUAAAAGAAAUUGAAAAAUAAGAAUUAUGAUUGUAGGUUUAAAAAAAAAUCCUUUUUUGUUUGACUUACGAUCAUAAUUCUUUAUAAUUUUUUUUUAUGUACCGGAUCUCCUGGCGUACCGAAUUAAAAUAGCGAGCAUCAUAUACGUACCACAGGAUCAUGCCAAAACAGGAUCUUUUGACGUACUAAAUUAAAACAGCAAGCAUUAUGUUCCAUAGGAACAUGACUUCAGGAUCCAGGGAUAAACUUUAUUUUAAUAUAUGAAACAGAAGAAUUAGCAUAUUCUUAAUUCUCCAGAGUAGACUACAGUUGUGCUAAACAAAGUGAUACACAUUGGAAGGAAACAAUGAAUGGUGACAGCAGUGUAAAAACAUAGGUAUUGUAAUGUAAGCUUGAAACUGUUAUUUAUCAUAAAACAAGUAGAAAUUUAGGUAAAUAUUUACUUGGGCGGUAUUUCCGAAAAAAAAUGUUAAAAAUCCGAAAAUACCUUUAUGAUAUGCUCUUCAACUUCCUCUUUUCAUUAAAAGUGGCGGAGGUAAGAAAUUCCAAAUACGUUAGGAGAUAUCGAAUUUUUAAAUUUCAUCAUUAGAGUUGAGCGGUAUUUGCAAAAAAAAAAUGUUAAAAAUCCGAAAAUACCUUUAUGAUAUGCUCUUCAACUUCCUCUUUUCAUUAAAAGCGGCGGAGAUAAGAAAUUCCAAAUACUUUAGGAGAUAUCGAAUUUUUUAAUUUUGCAAUACAAGACCUGUGGAACCAUUCGAGCGGCGCCAUUUUUGUUAUUUUGCCGUGUGUUCGUGAGACGUGAAUACGUGAAUCGUGAAUGCGUGAUUAAUAAAAUGGUUGAUUAGGUCAGGUCAGUUACAUUAUUAAUACUUUCAAACUAAGCCGACAUUAAAAAUUAUUUUGUGAAUUAAUUUUAAUGGCUGUUUAGUUUUAAAAUAUUUAUAAUGUAACUGACCUGACCAAACAAACCCGGACAAAGGGUGAACAGUAAACUAAAAUGGUCGAUUAGGUCAGGUCAGUUACAUUAUAAAUACUUUCAAACUAAGGUGAUAUUAAAAAUAAUGUGAAUUAAUUUUAAUUAUUCCUUAGUUUUAAAUUAUUUAUAAUGUAACUGACCUUACCUAACAAACCCGUAACAAAGGAUGUACAGUAACUGAGGUAAAUUUUUUUGUUACUUAUUACUUGCGCAACAAUAUCAAAAUAACAAAUAAGACUUUAAAAUUAGAAACGUUAAAAACUCACCUAAGUUGGAGGCGGUAAUUAAACACCGUUUUAAACAAUAAUUGAACUAAAUAAUCACGUAUUAGUUAAUUUGAAUUCUGGCCUAUCACGAACAAUCACGUGACAUCAUUAUCCAAUAAAAAAAAAUACUCGUACGUAAACAAGAAACAAUGGUCCACGCACGCCACAGGAAUGCGCUGGUUUUGUGCUGAAAUUUAAAAAUUCGAUAUCUCCUAAAGUAUUUGGAAUUUCUAAUCUCCGCCGCUUUUAAUGAAAAGAGGAAGUUGAAGAGCAUAUAAUAAAGGAUUCGUGGAAGGUGCUUGUAGCAUCUGCAGCGCUGUGCAUGGCGUCUGCAACCGUAGACGUCAACAUGCAGCAACUCCAGUACCUGUCCAACAGCCUCACGCCGGAGGAAUGCCGACGGCUCUACGCGGCACUCGAAGACCCAGAGUUCGACAUAACCUUCAACCUGGACACCACCGGGUGCUGCUGUCAAUGACCGGCGAGCCGAUGGUGGAACCCGAGGACACGGACGAUUGGACGCCGUUCGACAUUCUGCUGUGCGUGCUGGUGCUAGCGCUAUUCUUCGUCCUACUGGUGGUCGCAGGGGCACUGGCGAGAGAUAGCUACGGACGCAAGCACACCGCCCGUGUACCCGCGUGAGGGCGCUAAACCCUACGUCAACCCCUCCGAAAAUAAUAAAAAUACUAUAAAAUAAAAAUUAUCACAAAAGCACUGCACAGCGAAACAUCAUUACACGGCAAACAAAAAAUCUAGCUUCCUUUAAGUUCAGGCUGAAAAAAAUCUUUGUAACAGCUGCUUACCGUGACCAUUUCACCGCUACCCUAUUGCUUGAAUCUGUGUGUGAAUGUGCGAGUGACUGGUUUUAAUUUAGAAGCACCUAUUUUUUUUCUUUCCAGUUUUGAUACUAUUUGCUGUAAUGUUUAAUUACUUUCCUUUUUAUGUAUGUCUAUGCUUAGUUUUUAAUUACUUAAAAUUAGUUACGGUUGAUUCUUUUGCAAUAGUUAAUAUUUGAACAUCAGUGGUUCCCAACCAGUGGUCCACGGACCAUCAGUGGUCCGCGAGAGUUAAAAUAUGGUCCGUGAAAGAUUUCAUACUCUGAAUGAACGCGCGUCGGUGAACAAAAGCGAGCGCGGCGCGCAGGCGACCAGGGGAAGGGCAAGCAACUGACUAAAUUUAUUGCGCAAGCUGGUCAGUCAAUCGUACGUUUUCUUUUGUUUUGCUCAGCAGUGUUGUGUUAGUGAUUCUGUUUAGCUGUUUAGUGGGUCAACAUCUGUAACUCCUCAAUAUUCUUAUGGAUAUUUUGAUAAAAUAUGAACAGGGUAAGUAGGCUACACAUUUUUCUCUGUUAAACUUUUUUAAUAAAAACAUGCAAUUACAAAACAGAAUGUGGACGUUUGUUUGCGUAUGAGUCUUGUGUUUGUGUAUUACAAAUGUUCACAACAGUUGGGUACAGUUAGUUGAAAACCUAAUUAUAUAUAAAAUAAAUCUAUAUGAAAUUAAAAAUUAAGAUAGUAAAAUAACACUGGCCUCCCAAAUUAAAAAGUAGAGCCAGUCACAAAAAUCCUUAAAAAUAUGCUAUCAUAAUAUUGUUGAAUUGUUAUUAUGCUGUUUUAGGUUUCUCAUAAUGAAAUAAAAACACCGUUAACUCUUUUAAUGCCAAAGUCGGAUAAAUCGCCUUUUCUGUGUCGUGCGAAAAAUGGGAGGAUCGAAAAAUCGGCCUGAAUAUUUUUUUCUUUCGACGACGCACGCCAAUCCAUUAAAAAUAAUAUAACUUUUUCUCGAGAAAUUUAAAAAAAAAAUUCAUUAUAUGUUUUUAUUUAAUCUUAAAAAAAUGACAAAGAAUAAUUUAUUCAUAAGAUGUAAAAAAUUUAUACUUUCAUACUUAAAGGUAAAAAGUUACUAAAGGUAAAAAAGUUAUUAAUAUUUAACUACAGAUAUGUAAUUCAUUUAAAAAUGACUUGGCACUUUUAGUAUAACCGUAAUAGAAUUAGACAAUUUGAGGCUGGCACCAAGAGGGUUAAGGGAAAUUUAUGGUACCUACCAAGACCCUUGUUUUUAACGAUUAGACAUUAUUUUUUAAAUUGUGUAGUAAAGAUUUAAGUUUGUAAAAAAAAUUAUAGCGAGGUUAUAAUUUUUUGGAAGCCAGUUUAUAUUUAUUUAUUUAAUGAUUUAUGUUAUGAAUUAUGAAAAAAUUUAGCUAUAUUAUUUUUUAUUCUUUUAGUUGGCAUAAAACAUAAUAUAAGCAUAUCAGUGUAGGUACAUUCUAUUGCAUUUUGGUUUUGUUUUCAGAAAAUGUUGCCUAAGAGAAAAUAUGAUAAUAGUUACAUUAAAUUUGGAUUUACAACGAUAGAAAGUAAUGGAGAAAUAAAACCACAAUAUGUUAUAUGCGCAACUGUUCUCGCAAACGAAGCCUUGAAGCCAGCGAAAUUAAAACGUCACCUAGAAACGAUUCAUCCAAAUUUUUCUGACCAACUACCAGAGUUCUUUCAAGGAAAAUUGGAGAAUUUUAAAAGAAUGAAACUCGGGCCUAGUGGUACAAGAUAUGCAUCAUCUGAAGAAAAAUUAGUAGUAUCGUUUGAGAUAUCGAAAUUAAUAGCACAAUCAAAAAAGCCUCACACAAUAGGAGAAACUCUUGUGAAACCUUGUUUGAUCAAAGCCGUCGAAGAAGUUUUAGGGUUAGAAGCAAAAAAAAAAAAAAAAUACAAGAUAUAAAUUUGUCGAACAACACGGUGAAAUAUAGAAUUGAACUCAUGUCAAAUGAUAUCGAGGAGCAACUUGUUUCGAGAAUUAAAAUGUCACCAUUCUUCGCUUUGCAGUGCGAUGAAUCCACUGACAUUUCUAAUUGUGCUCAUUUACUUUUUUUUUCUUCCGCUUUUUAGACGACGACAACAUAAUCAAAGAAGAACUGUUGUUUUCUCAGGAACUGGAAAGGACAUCAAGAGGUAUCGACGUCGUGAAUAUAACUGUAUAUUUCCCGAAAUAUGGCAUUAUGUGGGAAAAGCUAGUCGGUUUCUGUACGGAUGGUGCUCCUGCGAUGUUAGGAUCACAUUCCGGUCUAGCAACAUUAAUCAAACAGAGGAAUCCGUCAACAUUAACAUCGCAUUGUAUCCUUCAUCGCCAGGCGUUAGCUUUCCAAGACUCUUCCUAAAUGCCUUAAUGAUAGAAUGAAAUUGGCCAUAAAAGUAGAAAAUGUCAUUAAAAGCAGUGCCUUAAAUUCAUGCCUUUUUAAAAAACUGUGCACUGAAAUGGACUCCAACCAUGAGAACCUCCUCUUUCACACAGAGGUUCGUUGGUUGUCGAAAGGCAAUAUGCUGGAAAGAUUAUACGAGCUGAGAGGAGAGAUUGAGUUGUUUCUAGGUGAGAAUAAAAUGGAAGACUUACUAGUACAGUUUUCUGAUUUGACAUACCAGAUGCGUUUGGCAUAUCUUGUGGAUAUUUUUACACACUUAAAUAAGUUUAACUUGCAAAUGCAAGGUUCAGGAAACAGACAAUUAGAAGGCGUUGCAAAUAUUUUUAAUUUUGAAGAUAAACUUCGUGCUUUUAUUUGCAAACUUAAGGUAUGGAUUAUUCAAGUUGGCGAGGGCAAUUAUAGUGUGUUUUCAACAUUGAAGGCACUCCUUGACGUCAAAAAGUAUGUCAUGUUUAGGGAAAGCAUACAAAAAAACAGCAAAUGUCAUUUGCAAAUGUUUGUUGAUGAAUUCAACCGUUACUUCCCAGAAUAUAACAAUACAGAAGCUAAUGUGGACCAAAAACUGAUACGCAACCCUUUGGCACUAACGCUAGAGAAGUUGCAGAAGAAAUCCAAGAAGAACUUAUUGAAUUACAAAAUGACAGGAACUGUAAGAACGCUUUUGAAUCUGAUUCUUUGGAGACGUUUUGGUAUAAGAAAGAAAUUUCUAAUAUUAAAAUUCGAGAAAUUUUUUUGCACUCUCUUAUGCUUUACUCAACAACUUAUUUAUGCUAACAAGGAUUUUCUGCAUUACUGCUCAUUAAAAACAAAUCCAGGAAUCGACUGAAAGUAAGUGAUGAUUUGCGUGUAGCUUUGAGUAAAAAUAUUACCCCAAAAAUUCAAGAUCUUGUACAGAAGAUGCAAGCUCAAAAAUCUCAUUGAUACAAACUGAAUUGUGUACUAAAAAUAUAUGUUUUCAAUCAUAACACUGUUAAUAAUGUUUAUUUUGGUUUUUUUAGAUUGCUUAUGUUAAACGUUUGGAUUAACAUUGAACGAUUAGACUUAAAAUUUAUUUUUAGAUUGAUACAGAUUAUUUUUUGACCUUGUGGUCCCUGCUAAUAAUAAUGAAAUUAAAGUGGUCCCUGAUCAAAAAAAGGUUGGGAACCACUGUUGAACAUUAAGUUAAAAUUUUAAUUUGUUCUUUUAAUAUUUAGUCAACAUCUGCUUAUAUCAUGCUUAAUUUUUAAUAUUCAACUCUUUGAUGUAACUGCAGAAAAGUGGUUAAGUGUAAGAAAAGGCGUACUGUACUGCCUUAACUUCGCCACCAAUAAAGACGAUAAAUAAAUAAAUAAAUAAAAAUAAAUAAAUACAUGAAGUUUUUUAAAUUUAAAAUUCGGCAGAGUGCCGCUAAUCCGGGUCCGCUCAUCCAAACAUCCUGAUGAAGCACGAUUUCCUCAUUUCUGCGGGUGUAAAACGUUGGUCUACGUAUACAGAAGUAUUUAAUCUAAAAUUAUCCGUAAAAAAAUAAUAAUUGAAUCUACGAAAAAAGAAAAAAACUUCAUUUUUUCUAGCUUAAACAGCUACUGAAACUUGUAUUAUGCACACUUUGAGGCAAAUUCCAUUCUAUACAAGUUCCGGUUUCAUCUAGUCCAGAUUAUACAAUGAACUGCAAUAAAGCCGAACACCGAAAAACACUUAAAUAUGCCAUGUACCACUGAAACACCGACGUACAACAAACAAUCAUGAAAUUAAUCAGCAUAUAUAAUCAAAACUCAACUUAAGAUUAUAAAAACUUAACUCGUUUACUAAAUUCAAUUCAAUGAAUUUAAAUUAUUUAGCAUGGAGUUAGUACCAAAAUGUAUGUACUAAAUAGAUUGGUAUUUUUUUUUUUAAUAUUGUAACUGUUAUUAGUGAAUAAUUUUUUACAUUGCACCAUUGUUACAAUUUUCAAAUGCACAUAUACUUGCUGAUUGAUUGUUAUUGUUCCCAGAAGGGGCCUGGGAGUACUCGGAAAAUAUUCAAUAUUCUUGAAUACUAGUUUGAUAUUUGAUAAUAAUGAAUAAUUGGAUAUUGAAUUUGACAUUUCAAUAUUUUUUUGCAAAUGGAUAAAUAAUUGGAUAUUAAUUUGACAUUUCAUUUUUUUAUAAUUUUUUUUUGCUAAUAGAUAAACAAUAGGAUAUUAAUUCAAUAUUUCAAUUUUUUCCCAUUUUUUUGCAUCUAGAUGAGUCUACACCAUGUUGGACACAUUCACAAAAAAAAAAAAAAACACUGUAAAACAAAAUGGAUUUGAGGUUAAGAUGAUUUAUUGAAAAAGUUUGGUUUGUACUGGAUCACUCACUAUUCACCCAUUGUUUCAUAUUUAUUAAUAAUAUUCUAUUUUGAAUAUGUAACCAUAUUAACAAAACAAGUCAAACUUACUGGUUUAAGAAGUUUCUUUUGAAAUUUCCUUCAUUUUAUAAAGCUUUGUAAUAAUUACCUGUAUAUUACUGAACUUUUAAUUUAACUGUAGUUUGGAUACAUUUUUUCUUAAACUCCUUGGAAGAAUGAAAAAAAUUUCAUUGUAUAUUUAAAGUUGAUUAUAAUUUUUUAUUUUUUGAUAUUCAUUAAUAUUGCAAUACUCGAUUCGAUCUGGGAAAAAGAGGGUGCUGGAAAUUACAAAUUAUUAUAUAGUAAAAGUGAAUCAUUGAUAAGUCAAAAUAACACUGUUUCAUGAAGUAUCAUUGAACAAGUAAAUGUUGUAUUUGUUGAAUAUUAUGCUACCUUUAUGAAUAAACAAGAGUUAAUAAAAAAUAAAACCACAAAAUCUUGUCUCUAUACCUAAAAGAUUUUUUUUUGAGUAUUCAGUAUAAUGUACUUUCAUUAUUAAGGCUCCACCUAACAUGUUGAGCCGGUGAUUUUUUUCCUUGGUGACUUUGUUUUUUGUAAAACAAUCACAAUAAUUCUCAUUUAAUGAUUUCCCUAAUAAUAAUAAAAAAAUUAAACCAGAUUUAUUAAUUUUUAUGUAACGGCUGUAAAAAGUUACGUCAGUGUUUUAACUGCAAUCACUUGUAUGGUUUUAUACAUCCACAAACAAUAUUAAAUAAGUAUCCGAUGAGAAAAUUUGUGACCUAACCACAAAUGAAAGAGAGAUAGGGUGAUAAAUCUAUAGGAUAAUCCCUUAAUAGUAUAGACAAGAAAAUAACGGUGCAGAGUUAAAACUUCAUUUGAUGGCCCGAACUCUUUCAUAGGUUGUGUACCAAGACGUUAGUUCUGGCUCACUGUUUUCGAUUUUUCAUAUUAAAGUUGGACAAAAUGCUUUCGUUCCGUGACUUAUUAAUUUAAAUUGUUUGGCAAAUAGAAAUGUUUUCGGCUCCUACUUCGAAGACGUAUACCAGCUUUAGGAAGUAAUUAAGAGAGAGAAACACACUCUCUCUCUCACUCAACUUAUUAUGUCGUGUUAAACCAACAGCCAUUUUUCGUUCGAAUUCAGACACCCUGGGCGUGUGCCUAAACCAAAUCAAUUUAAUGUACAAAUUAUUUGAACAGAAAUCUCAGAGGACAUAUUUUACUGAUUAAUCAUCUCUUUUCUCAUAACAUCACGUAUUACUUAUACUUUCCUGCAAAUCGUGAUUACAUCCAAAGCACAUUCUGAGCAAUGUAGUUUAUAGAUAGUUUCGUCAAGAACUAAAGCUGUCAAAAAGAAAACACGUGGGGUGUAUACACAAAUAAAUCUGUAUUAGAAUCCAAUCGUUUUCACAUUAUCAAGGUGCCACUCAUUAAUGAAGGAAAAAAAGGAAAUUUUUACACUUGCACUAUGCAGGAGCGUGACAAUUUCGAACCAGUUGCCGGGCGGGUGUGGAAAUGCAAGAACUUGCAAGUCUCUUAAACAAUAUUACAUAUAUAUAUAUUAGUACAUCAGUUUUUCACAUGUAUAUAAAAGAAAGUCUUUAGAACGAUCACACACAAUGACGUCUACUUGACUUCUUUCAC
Long non-coding RNA from Bacillus rossius redtenbacheri, 9924 nucleotides. RefSeq lists it as uncharacterized. The transcript has 3 exons. Lineage: Eukaryota; Metazoa; Arthropoda; Insecta; Phasmatodea; Bacillidae. The record is from RefSeq and is a predicted model, not a curated record.